This is a long non-coding RNA of Balaenoptera acutorostrata (minke whale), 520 nucleotides long. RefSeq lists it as uncharacterized. Lineage: Eukaryota; Metazoa; Chordata; Mammalia; Artiodactyla; Balaenopteridae. The record is from RefSeq and is a predicted model, not a curated record. The transcript is spliced from 4 exons.
CAAGAAUUGCAGUCAGCUGUCCAUAUCCGUGGGUUCCACAUCCACAGAUAUGGAACUCGCAGAUACAGAGGGCUAAUUGUAAAGGAUGUGAGUAUCUGCCGAUUUUUGUAUCCACAGGGUUCCUGGAACCAGUCCCCCACGGAUACUGAGGGCUAACUGCAUUGAGACACUAUAUUGAAAGAGCAACAUAAGAUGGUCACAGUUUGGUAAGAAGAUCAAAGGGCACGAUCAACAGCUCGUGCACUGCCUUGGUGUGGACCCAGAGUUCAAGCACAGACGAAGAUCAGACACUGACUUCACACUUCUGAUAGAUAAAUGAAGAAUUCAGAGCCUGAACCUAAGCUCAAAAUAAGAUGCCAAAAAAGAAAGAAAAGAUCAAAGAGCUUGGAACAGAAUUCCAGCAAGCUGAACCCAGAUUCUUUUCCCUAUAAGCCCUUGCUAUUUGGAUUGGCAGCAAAGCUGAUGGCAUUGAGAAGCUACCCCAGACUCCCAGGUAAUUCACAUACCUUUCUUGCCAACU